This 26-nucleotide non-coding RNA is filed under the name Mus musculus (house mouse). Lineage: Eukaryota; Metazoa; Chordata; Mammalia; Rodentia; Muridae. The record is from RNAcentral.
UAAAGCCUUGAACUGGAAUUGACAAU